UACAAAAAAACCAUCGAGUGCAUUAUAUUUCACCUGGAAUUUUUUUUAUAAAUAGAUAAUUAUGACUGAUAACAUAGCAUAAGAAAGAUCAUUACAAAAUCUAAAUUACCAUUCUUGAAAGUCAUCACGCUACCGAAUUUUUAUAUAGAAAAGGACGAUUUUGCAGAAGACAUCAGUACCAGGUAAACAAUGAGUACUUUCUUCCUAAUGUCUCAAAUUUAUUAUUCACUUAAGCUACCAUGAUUAUACCAUUGCAAGUGGAAGCCAUUAGUUCUGUUUAAAUGAGUAUUUACUGAUCGUCAGUUGCCGCCAUACUCAAGGAGUCGAGUCCUCGCGACGACAGGGCAGGAAUAAAUGGCGAAAGUGCUUGCGGUUCUUUAUUUCUUUUUCUUUUUUUCAAAGAACUACGAGCUGCAGAUAGAUCUCUGUGGUAGUGACGGGGCGGGGAGUCGUGCUGCUAUCGGGGCCUUGUGUCACGAGCGACAAUGGAGAACGGCAAAUAACUUGAAAAUAUUACUCGACUGUCGGCACGUUCCGCGAUUGCCGAGUACGAGGAACCCUAAAGGAGACUAAACGACUCGGAGAGACAGUAUAUAUUCUGCAUCGAUUGGUUUGCAUUGGCGGCGCUGGCGGAUUCGCAACUCGAGUGCAUUGUACCCGGUGCAUGAAUGCAUUUGCGGAUUGGAGUCAUUGCUUUACGAUGCAGUACGGAGCUGUAACCAUGGAGCUACCAGCGUACGGUUACUGCACGGGCUGAGGCAGUUGGUUAGCUAUGUGGGUAGGUAGGUAGAACGAGGUAGUAAUAAGACAGUCUAAGGAGAGUGUAGCUCAUGAUAUACGUAUGCAUAUAUACAUAUAGAAAUAUGUACAACGUGUGAUUUUUAUUCUAUCCGCCAUUACUGUACUAGGUAGAUAGAGAGUAGGCCCUGAGAUUUCUAGCGUACCCAGUAGGCACAUUGCCGACUAUAGUAGAUACAGCCAACCAACUAUCCGUGACUCGCUAACAUAAUUGCACCUUCUCUUUCUCAGUUGGCUGAAUAGCGAGACGACAAGACUUACCCGAGUGCUGGCCCACCGAGUAACCAAGCACUGAGGAGUAGGACCCCGAUAGAGGCAUCCCAUAAUUUGGAUGUAAAGUGCGACACGCGACCAUCCGUAAAAAUUUCACUUCCAUCGACAGCUCUUCCUGGUUUUGCUGCGGCUCACCGCGCCUCAUUGCGCGUCAUCGCACCGGCGGCGCCAUGACUGCCCUGGAGGAACUCGUGGAGGAUCCAGAAUAAAGAAAUAGAGUAACGUAACGAAAGAACGGAAGAAGAAAAGAUCCGUUAGUCCUGACACGAGCAUCUCCAUUGAACCACGAAGUCGCGCGACUGCCGUGGAUCUGUUGUAAGUAGAAGCGUCGCGGCGCCAUCCUUGAUCAGGAUAUCCUUUAUUCAGGUGGCGUAAUUAGAGAGUCAACCAGUAGACCAACCACCCAUAGCCAGGAUCUCGUGGAGUUACUGCGUGAUGACUAUAUUUUAUACCGAUACUAUUGGUAUCCUUUGAUCUGAUAUUCAAAAGACGUAAUAUCGCGGCCCAGGAACAAUCGCGGACCACGCCUAUAAAUGCUUUCUUUUUAGCCGUCGUUACAUUUAUAACCUGGCCCGCCGUCACGGAGACGCUCAUGCUGCACGCUGUGUACUUGUACCUACUACUCCCGUUCCAAAAAGCUGGCAUCGUUUCGCUCUUAAGCGAGACUCCUCGCCGAGAAACUCUUUCACGAUUCGCAAGUGAUCCGUGGACUUGUUGCACCGUCCUGCUGUACUGCGUACUGCCCUCAACUCUUGCCUCUCUCUUACGCGGACAUACAGGUUCCUUCUUCUUGGCUCUAGACAGCUUUCUAAUAUCAAUCGCAGAGUCUCGAUACUACUCCUGCGACACCGGGGACGCCAAGUCGAGCUUAAUAAGCCAGCAGCAGCUAACCUCCAUCGUGCCGUUCUCUGACAUUGAGACACCUGGUACUUGUCGUCGUCCUCGCAUUCGCUGGCGACCUGGUCGUCUGAACUCAUAUGCCAUUCUGCAUCUAUAAUACGUCAGGCUUCUAUCUCUAUACGGUUCAGCUUAUGUAUACCUCGUUGUACGUUACUCUUUUUAUUUCUCGUUAUACCCAUUGCAUAAUUAUAUAGUAUAUGAAUAUGUAGGAAAGAUGUGACCGUUGGCGAACAGAGACACCAGGGUCGAAGAAGUCAGGUACGUACGCAUCUGGUGAACGUAUCUGAUACAGUCCUAAGUAGCUUUCGAAGAUUUCUACGUGUUUAGUGAAUAUGGACUCGACUACAGGAUGGAUUUUUAAGGGAUCUUUUACCGGAUAUUAUGAAAAUCUGAUGGUCAGACGUAAGACGAGCCUGGUAAACUCGACUCCAGAAAUAAUCUUUAAGGCUUCGUUAGAUCGUCGUUACUCCAGACGGAGAGUUACGUGACGAGGUUGUUCCUUGGAUGGAGACAGAGCGAAGCCUUGCCGAAUAUAAGGUUACCGUAUGAAAGUGAGAGGGAAGGCGAACCUGCUUGUAAAUACUGGCGCGGAGAGCGGGUGCGAAACGCAGACACGUUUCCAUGCGUUUCAACAUGUUCGACGGGUUUCGACACAAUCCUAAACGUUGUUCGACUUGCCGCGCCAUAGUUUGACACCGGAAAUUGAUAGAAAUCAUUCUCGUAACAUAGCGCCGGUAAUGAGAUUUCGUAAAUGCUACACCCACUUCGCCUCAAUUAAUAGAAACACCUGGACAUACGAACAAUUUCUCUUACAGACAAUUGUCAGGGACGAUAGUAAACGAUAAACUUGAUUCUUAUGAAAUGCCAGGACCCGACGUUAAAGAAAGAUUUCACAUAACUACAUAAUAAGUUAGACUAGCACAAGACACCUAUUAAGUAACGCAUGAGAUGUCAGGAACCGUUACACAAUCCAAACCGUUGUCAGUGACCAAUUGAAACAAGUGUUUCUAGAAAAAUAGCAAAUUGAAAUAUUUUUUUUUUAAUUAAAAAAAAUUCCCAAA
Long non-coding RNA from Cephus cinctus (wheat stem sawfly), 3032 nucleotides. RefSeq lists it as uncharacterized. NCBI's taxonomy places the organism in Eukaryota, Metazoa, Arthropoda, Insecta, Hymenoptera, Cephidae. The record is from RefSeq and is a predicted model, not a curated record. The transcript has 3 exons.